This is a long non-coding RNA of Leopardus geoffroyi (Geoffroy's cat), 648 nucleotides long. RefSeq lists it as uncharacterized. NCBI's taxonomy places the organism in Eukaryota, Metazoa, Chordata, Mammalia, Carnivora, Felidae. The record is from RefSeq and is a predicted model, not a curated record. The transcript has 2 exons.
AACAUCAGCCACUCCCUCCUUCUUUAACCCAGUGCUCAUUGGGUGCCUCUUCUGGGCCAGACACAGGGGCCCGAGUCUGUGGUCCUCUCCGGAAGCAGUGUGUCUGUCGGGGAGCCGAGAUGAGAGGAAGCAUGUGCCUAGCAUGGCCGGGGGCUCCCGGAGCCAUUACAAGCCCCCCAUCCACCGCCCUGCAGACGGGAGGUUGUCCCCGCUGUGCAGAUGAGCAAAUUGAGGGGGAAAAUUGGACCAUGUGAAUCUGAUGCUCGGGGGGGGGGGGAAAUCAACCCACAAAAAUUGUCAAGAUGGCUCUGCAAAGGACGAUCAUGAAGGAAGGUGACUGACCAGAUAUUAAAGCUGAUUCCAAAGCUACGGCAAAUAAAUGGUAUACUCCUGGCAUGAGGACAAAAUGAUCCGUAGGAGAGAAAGAGGUCAAAGGCUCUUCCCAAUGUACACUGGAACUUAAAACAUGACAAAGGGCUGAAAAGAGCUGGGACAGCUGACCAUCCAGUUAGAAACAAAGUUAAAUCCCUACCUCACACUGUACACAAGAAUAAUUUCCAAACGAGUUAAAGGCAAAGGAGUUUUGUUGUUGCUUUUUGAACUACAAGCAUAUGGAAAGUAAUAAAGAUAAAUAUCCUUAUAACCUCA